UACACUCGCGCCGCCAAAGGUGCCUGAUCGAUUCGAUCGGGUGAAACGGGAAGCCGGUGCGUUGUUCUUGCGAUCGAUCCUGAUCACGAGAAUCAAGAAGCGACCAUCCGUGGUCGCACUCCUUGAUUCAACAAUUCCGGCGCUGCCCCCGCAACGGUAGGCAAGCCAAGCCUGAUCGAUGACCACUGUGCCUUGCACGGGAAGGUGAUCAGGCCGAUGCAUCCGCAUCGCUUGCAAGCCCGGAGACCGGCCUUGGGCCGACGUCGAUG
Molecule: non-coding RNA, 269 nt
Filed under: Lysobacterales bacterium
Lineage: Bacteria; Pseudomonadati; Pseudomonadota; Gammaproteobacteria; Lysobacterales
Source: RNAcentral